This 253-nucleotide ribosomal RNA is filed under the name uncultured bacterium. RNAcentral's name for it is "partial 16S ribosomal RNA". It matches the Rfam family "Bacterial small subunit ribosomal RNA", at positions 524 to 776 of the family's 1533-position model. The record is from RNAcentral.
UACGUAGGGUGCAAGCGUUAAUCGGAAUUACUGGGCGUAAAGCGUGCGCAGGCGGUUAUGCAAGACAGAUGUGAAAUCCCCGGGCUCAACCUGGGAACUGCAUUUGUGACUGCAUAGCUGGAGUGCGGCAGAGGGGGAUGGAAUUCCGCGUGUAGCAGUGAAAUGCGUAGAUAUGCGGAGGAACACCGAUGGCGAAGGCAAUCCCCUGGGCCUGCACUGACGCCCAUGCACGAAAGCGUGGGGAGCAAACAGG